This 207-nucleotide ribosomal RNA is filed under the name uncultured bacterium. RNAcentral's name for it is "partial 16S ribosomal RNA". It matches the Rfam family "Bacterial small subunit ribosomal RNA", at positions 568 to 774 of the family's 1533-position model. The record is from RNAcentral.
CGCGUAGGUGUUUAUGUAAGUCAGGUGUGAAAUUCCGGGACUCAAUUCCGGGCCCGCAUCUGAAACUACAUGAAUGGAGUAUAGACGGAGAAAAUGGAAUUCCACGUGUAGCGGUGAAAUGCGUAGAUAUGUGGAGGAACACCAGUGGCGAAGGCGAUUUUCUAGUCUAUUACUGACGCUGAGGCGCGAAAGCAAGGGGAGCAAACA